This 656-nucleotide ribosomal RNA is filed under the name uncultured Entrophospora. Its description in RNAcentral is "SSU rRNA". It matches the Rfam family "Eukaryotic small subunit ribosomal RNA", at positions 624 to 1276 of the family's 1831-position model. The record is from RNAcentral. Lineage: Eukaryota; Fungi; Glomeromycota; Glomeromycetes; Entrophosporales; Entrophosporaceae.
AAGCUCGUAGUUGAAUUUCGGGAUUGUCACAUCGGUCGUGCCUUAAGGGGUAUGAACUGGUGUAGUCAAUUUCUCACCUUCUGGAGAACCGCGAUGCCCUUAAUUGGGUGUCACGGGGAACCAGGACCUUUACUUUGAAAAAAUUAGAGUGUUUAAAGCAGGCAUUUUGCUUGAAUACAUUAGCAUGGAAUAAUAAAAUAGGACGGCAUGAUUCUAUUUUGUUGGUUUCUAGGAUCACCGUAAUGAUUAAUAGGGAUAGUUGGGGCAUUAGUAUUCAAUUGUCAGAGGUGAAAUUCUUGGAUUUAUUGAAGACUAACUACUGCGAAAGCAUUUGCCAAGGAUGUUUUCAUUAAUCAAGAACGAAAGUUAGGGGAUCGAAGACGAUCAGAUACCGUCGUAGUCUUAACCAUAAACUAUGCCGACUAGGGAUCGGAUGAUGUUAAUUUUUUAAUGACUCAUUCGGCGCCUUACGGGAAACCAAAGUGUUUGGGUUCCGGGGGGAGUAUGGUCGCAAGGCUGAAACUUAAAGGAAUUGACGGAAGGGCACCACCAGGGGUGGAGCCUGCGGCUUAAUUUGACUCAACACGGGGAAACUCACCAGGUCCAGACAUAGUAAGGAUUGACAGAUUGAGAGCUCUUUCUUGAUUCUAUGGGUG